Capra hircus (goat) is the source of this 3734-nucleotide long non-coding RNA. NCBI's taxonomy places the organism in Eukaryota, Metazoa, Chordata, Mammalia, Artiodactyla, Bovidae. The record is from Ensembl.
AUGCCUGAUGAUCUGUGGUCCCUGCUGCCUCUCGGAAAAUGUUUCUGCUUUCCCCAAGGAAACUUUUCAGCCCAGCUCCGUGGCAAGAGAUCUGAUGAACUAGUCGAACAUUUCCAAGAGGAUGUGGUGAAUUAUUUAAGGUCAGAGGAUGGACACAUUGGGAAGGAGGCUUUCAGCACUAUGCCUUCCAAUCGCACAAAACAGACCAGCAUCCUCCGGCUGAUGGAUCUUUGGAGUAACAGCAUUGGUCCCUCCAGAAAACCUCACCACAUCAUCCUUCAUCAAGGAAACAGCUGAAAUUCAGUGGGACAACCUUACACGCUGCAAGGACACCUGGCGUCCUUCCACCUCCUCUGAUGACCUCAGUUGCUCUCAAACAAUCAAGCACUGCCUGUUAGAAUGAAAACAGAUGCCACUAAAUGCUACUGUUUUGAGCAUGGCAUUUUUUAGUCAACCACUGAACUGUACACAGCCAAAUGACUUUAUUCGCUACACCAAGAAACCAUCUUUCCUACUGGACAAACACAUAUAGUAGUUGGGACCACUAUAUGACAAAUGGGACCACCUGUCAUAUAAGAGUUCAGUUAGGACUCAGAAUGUAAUUGCUCACUAAGACUUAAGAGAGUCCACACUGGGUGUCACAGAAGAUACUAGAAGAAACUCAUGAUAACCCAAAGGACAUUGUUACAAUGCCUGUACAUGUCAGCCCGGUGCUUUGGAUUACCACAGUGUUUCCUGGAAACUCUAUUUUGCCAACUAUCUUGAACUCAGUCCAGGCAUUUCCCCAUUCAUAGCCACAUGGUGGGGUCAGUACUGAAGGGUGAUGAACACUGCAGUGUCCUUGCAGAAGGCUCAGACUAUGCAAUAUUUAAAUUAAAAAAGAUAAACACCAUUCUAGGCACAUUCCGUGCCACAUCACCACGACCCAGUUCCUGUUAUCCAUCAAGUAGGUUUUAAAAUAGUCCGCGUUUUUUAGCCCUGCAUAGUCAACAGUACUGGAAAGUUGGCAGGUCCACUUGUUUAAACAAAGCUCCCAAGUUUUCUGCUGGCAGGUGUUUCCAGAGUUCUUGGAGCACAAUUCUUUGGAUAGGAUAUUUGCCAAUAUACAUAGCAACAGGAAAAAAAAAUGUGUUUUCCUUUGUCACAGUGGAGACACAAAAAUGCCUUAGAUGCAAAGCUGGAUAUUCAGCUUGGGGCUUAUUUUGGCUCUAUGUCAAGGAAUAAACAAUAAUAAAAUCCAGCAUCUCUCUGUUCAGAUCUGACGGGUUUCAGAGGGGAACAGGGCUGCUUCUCAACUUGCCAGAGUGAACUCUCCACCCAUCUCUGCAGCUUGACCUGUGAAUUUGUCUUCCCUUCUUUGUCAGUUCCUCCAGCCUCCUGAGUAUCCCAUUCUCAAGUUUUCCUGCUAAUUCUGCUUGAAAUUGAGGUGGGGGAUGGUUGGUUUGAAAUUUAAUUUGAUGAUGGCAGAACAGCUAAGAUUUAUUCCACCUCUAUCUGCCCUUAGGCAUUGAGUUUCAGUUAUUCUUAAAUCUAACUUUCCCAAAUCCAAACUUGGGACAACUUUAAAAUCACACGGCUAGUUUUAUAAUCUCUUUCUUGCCAGUUGGACUAAUUCACAUUUGCUGCCAUUAGAUGCAUCCCCUAGUCAUUCAGUUAAACUUGACACAUGCGCUGGAACACCACGAGAGAGAAAUGAUCCUGGCUCUCACCCUGAACUGAAUGAGAAUAAAUAGAAGGUUCUCUUAAUGCAAAAUCAACGUUUUUUUCCUUUGAGUUUUAAACAUUUGCCCCCAAACUUCUCCCUCAAACUUAAAGGAAGUCAAAAUGUAACUGGCUUAGAAGGUACUUACUUAAUGGACAUUAAAUUGAAACCCAAAGAAAAUUAUGGCUUUCAAAUUCUGUUUACCAAAAAAAGAAUAUUAGGCACUACUAAAAUUUAUUUUAAGUCAUUUCCUCUUUAGUUAGUUGCUGGUGGGGAAUGCAUUAUUUCAUUCUGGUGUUAACUGGCCUUAUUUAUGCCUCUCUCAAUUACCCGUCUGCUCCAUCUCUCUCAUAUUAUCUUUUCAUUUAGUAUCUUUGGAAGCUUCCUUACAAAUUUCAAAAUGAAGAUGCACUUUACGGAUGUUUUGGGUUUAGAAUGGACCCUUUCUGUAAGGAGUCAUGAACAGAGCCAAGGGUCUUAUAAAAUCCAUCGGUUUGGGGAAAAGGAAUUGGACAUUUGAUUGUUAGGGAGAAAUUUUACUUUUUUCAUUCACCUUAACUGUGGCUAUAGAAAGAAACCACAUUGAUCAGAGUCUGGAUUUUUCACCUCCAGAAGAUGUGUGAAGGACUAAUAGUAGUGAUAAAUACAGACUUAGAUCAGACAGACCUGAGUUCAAAUUCCUGCACUGCUACCUACUUGUAGGUGUUGAAAGAUAAGGCUCAGACUCCCCUGGUGGUACAGUGGAUAAGAAUCUGCCUGCCAGUGUUGGGAACACAGGUUCGAUCCCCGGUCUGGGAGGAUUCCACGUGCCACGGAGCAAUUAAGCCCAUGGGCCACGGCUACUGAGCCCCCAGAGGCAAGAACUGAAGCCCUUGUGCCUCGAGCGGGUGCUCUGCAACAAGAGAGGCCCCCACAAUGAGAAGCUCGUGCACCACAACGAAGAAUGGUCCCCACUCACCACGGCUAGAGGAAGCUUGAAUAGCAGGGAAGACCAGCACAGCCAAAAAUAGAAUAAAAAAUAACAACAACAACACAAAACAGCAAAGCUCUUGGGACUUCUGUAGAGCUCCAGUGGUUAAGAUUCUGGAUGUACAAUGCAGGUGGCCUGGGUUCACAUCCCAUGUGCUACAUGGAAUGACCAUAAAUAAGUAAAUAAAUAAGGCUUUUAAUUCAGUAGCAGUCAAAUCGUUCUAUCUCUGGGACUUAGGUCAGCUUGUGAAACUCAUGGACAACAUGAGUGGAUGUGUUCAGGAAAAUUAAGUAAGGUAAUAUACAGCCAGUUCAAAGCCCAUUUCAAGAUGAAAACAGUAACAAAAUUUGAAAAAAAGUCUACCUGGCUGCAACCUUGGUAUCUGCACACUUUGUUUCAACUUUCAUUGUGUUUUAUCUCAUGAGUAAUAAAUAUUUGCUGUAAAAAGAAAUGGAAAAUCUAGGUAGAUUUUUUACAAAUAAGAACUGCUUACUCACCUAUAGAAGCAUCUCCCAGAAAUUAUUCCCAUGGAGAGUCUGACUGAAUCCUUUCAGACCUAAUCAUGAGACACCCAGGUGACAUUACAAUGCCCCUUAAAGGCUCCACUUCUACCUGGGGCAGUGGGGGUGGUGUCUGGGGGGGUGGCGGUGGAUCGGCCUGCUCCCCGAUGGAAGUGUCAAGAAGGCCAUGGGAAAACUGAUUCCUAUAAGAUAAUAAAUCAGAGAAAGGAUCCUGAGAAGAUUUGGAAGGAAAUGAAUUUUUUUUUUGUUUGUUUUCACAAAUGAAGAAAUGCUGUGAAUUCCAGGCAGGAUACUGUUUUCUGCCAGAUGGUGUUUUGGAAGAGGCAGCAGUGCUAAGACAGAGUUCCUCCUGGAAAGAUCACACACCCUGGAGGAUCUCUGCUGGGUGAAGUUUUAGUAAAUGUGAUGAAUCAAUAGUAUUGUUACUGUUAACUCCCAAUGACUGAAUUGGAAAGGACUGAUAGAGCAAUAACUUUUUUAAUAAGCUGCCUUGCUUUUCCCUUGAUUAGUGAAAAAUUUGUGAAAACUUUUUGGCUGUCUC